UACUAGAGUAGCACUCGCAUAUCAAUAAGCGGAGGAAAAGAAACUAACAAGGAUUCCCCUAGUAACGGCGAGUGAAGCGGGAAGAGCUCAAAUUUGAAAUCUUAAAGGGUUUCCCUUUACGAAUUGUAGUUUAAAGAAGUGUUUUCUGUUGAGGUUUUGGUAAAAGUUCUUUGGAAUAGGACAUCAUAGAGGGUGAGAAUCCCGUAUUUGACCUUUACUUUCAACUUUGUGAUACACUUUCAAAGAGUCGGAUUGUUUGGGAAUGCAGUCCAAAAUGGGUGGUAAAUUUCAUCUAAAGCUAAAUAUUGGCGAGAGACCGAUAGCGAACAAGUACCGUGAGGGAAAGAUGAAAAGAACUUUGAGAAGAGAGUUAAACAGUACGUGAAAUUGUCAAAAGGGAAGCGUUUGACACCAGUGUUGUUUUUCUGAAAAUCAAUUAAAGAACUGUUUAUGCUAAGCUGUUUAGACUUUAUCAGCUAUCUGUUUAGUUUUAGGCUUUUCUUUAAUGCACUUUUCAGUUAACAAGUCAACAUCAAUUUCUUUUGCUGUAAAAAAGCUUGAGGAAGGUGGCUUGAGAUUCGUCUUAAGUGUUUAUAGCCUCUUGCCUAUGCAGUCGGAGAGAUUGAGGUCUGCAGCGUAGAUCCUUCGGGGCUAAAUGCAUUUGUGCUAAGUUAUAGCAUUUUAUAGACAACUUGUUGACUAUGAUUUGUCUUGUAGCUUACUCGCUUAUGUUAUUUUACCUACGCUUAGGAUGUUGAGCGCAUGUCUCUCUCU
RNAcentral lists this ribosomal RNA (774 nucleotides) under uncultured Neocallimastigales. RNAcentral's name for it is "partial large subunit ribosomal RNA". It matches the Rfam family "Eukaryotic large subunit ribosomal RNA", at positions 20 to 616 of the family's 3401-position model. Lineage: Eukaryota; Fungi; Neocallimastigomycota; Neocallimastigomycetes; Neocallimastigales. The record is from RNAcentral.